AAAUUGAAGAGUUUGAUCAUGGCUCAGAUUGAACGCUGGCGGCAGGCCUAACACAUGCAAGUCGAACGGUAGCACAGAGAGCUUGCUCUCGGGUGACGAGUGGCGGACGGGUGAGUAAUGUCUGGGAAACUGCCUGAUGGAGGGGGAUAACUACUGGAAACGGUAGCUAAUACCGCAUAACGUCGCAAGACCAAAGAGGGGGACCUUCGGGCCUCUUGCCAUCAGAUGUGCCCAGAUGGGAUUAGCUAGUAGGUGGGGUAACGGCUCACCUAGGCGACGAUCCCUAGCUGGUCUGAG
This 297-nucleotide ribosomal RNA is filed under the name Enterobacter sichuanensis. RNAcentral's name for it is "partial 16S ribosomal RNA". It matches the Rfam family "Bacterial small subunit ribosomal RNA", at positions 1 to 296 of the family's 1533-position model. Lineage: Bacteria; Pseudomonadati; Pseudomonadota; Gammaproteobacteria; Enterobacterales; Enterobacteriaceae. The record is from RNAcentral.